AAGUUAAAGUCAGCCAUCUGCAUGUUGAGCGACGUACCAAGGGUCUUAAAAGGAGCGGGGUUGAGCCUUCGAGACUAUUCCCCCACUUUCAAGCGAAGUGGCGUGAUGGAUGGCAAGUCUUUAGGGUUCGUGGUUUAAAGUUUUUUUUCUUUUUUUCUUUAGGGUUCGUGGUAUCGGUUCCUGUUGUUCUGGCCGCUCGCCGGGGAGACGCGGUACGAAGAAGAGCUCGGAAUGGUGAACCAGCGAGACGAGGACGAGGAGCAGGGACGGCCAGCAACGGAGCGCCGGUGGCGGCCACCGCCGCCGCUACUGUCAGCCGUCAAGUAGAACGACCGCCGCCGCUACUGCCCGCGCUUGGACUGCGAGCUGCCGCGCUCGUCUCAAUACGGAUUGCCGGAGGAGAACGACUGGCUACCGUCUUUCGACUUUCCGGUACCGCAGGUGGGUAAGGGCGACGGCAAGGCGUGGCGCAGCUUACGGUGGCCGAGGCACGCCGGAAAGAGCUGGUGGAAGCAGAAGCGGUAGAGGUCAGUUAUGCUGCUGCACUCGUCGCUGCCGUAGCGGAAGAAGCACCGGCGCAGGUCCCUCCACGAGAGGUGACGCAGCGGUCCGGUCAAGGACCCGGAGGAGUUGCUUCUGUUAUAACCGUUGGCCUCGCGGGCGUAGAAGCGGCACCUCGAUCUGUGCAAGUUUCUACUGCUCGAGGCACUGUAGUUGUUGUUGGUACAGCCGCAGCUGCAACUAUCGGAGCAUAGUUAGCUAAGGUGGUUGCGGCCCAUGAUACUACUGCCGUGGCCCUACAAGGUCUUGGAUUCAGACUAUUCGGUCUUCGGGUACGUCCACACCCACCUGAUGCUGUCGUCCCGGUGCCUCUAGUGGCACUGGUACCGAGGCAACCCGCACCAGUCCGGGUUCUUCGGGGAGGACGCCUGGUGGCAGCUGGAGAGCCCCCACCACGUCUUGUGGCGCAUGCAGCCCAAGAGAAGCCGUUGCUUGAAGAAAGGUUGUGCUGUGCAGCAGGAGCCGACCUCGAAGCGUAACCUACUCGGCCGGGGACGUAACUUGUAGAGUUACAACGGCCGGAACGGUAGCUGUAGCUGGAGCUGGAUGUACUGUGCCACCAGGUAUACCGGUUACUACUAGCGGAAUCGUAGCCACUGCGACCAAAGCCAUUCGUAGGAUUAGAUGUAUACACAUUCUGCCGUCGCAGAGUUCAUGAGACUCCACGCACUCCUGACCCUCCGGGGGAAACCGAGCUUGGCUAAAAGAAUGUUCCUGAACAAAGUACGCUGGUUUCCCAAGUCACUGUUCUUGGAUGAACCUUCCCCUCCAAAACCUUCACAGAUAUCCCCACACGAAGCGUUCUGACCGUACUUCCAGCGGCACUUCUCCUACAGUGUGCUAAGUUCCGCAUUCCCCCUCGAAGAGGAUCAUAUACUGAUGUACCUUUUACCAUCAGAACUGUUCAUGGAUGUGUGUUCUUUACCGGGUUGAGAUACAACCAGGGUCUCCAUAAGCUAGUAGUUUCCACACCGCAGUUCAAACAACAUAGAUGUACUCCUAACCCUCGUUCAGCAGUAGGUAUCUCUACAUUUCCGUUCGUUACACGAGAACCUACCAUUCUACUUACCUUCCAACCCGCUAAAACCAGAACGUUCCUAUAUGCUGGUGCUUUGGCGGCGACUUUGGUGGGUACACCGACCGUGGUACCCCAUAGAACGCGGUCUUGAGAGCGCGUGGCCCUCCGGUUGUGGUAAGAGACUACAUAUACGUAAACCGCACAAAGAGGAUCUCCAGUGCAGACCUGCUUCCGGUUAGAAGUAGCUACUCGUUUUGUUGGCCCAUAACAACCAACUCACCCACGAACUCGUGGUGGUGUUACCAAGAUAGGAGCUGUGUCAUCUAGGUGCUGAGCCUCCCCUUAAGUUGCGCCUACUCCAUUGAUAGCACGAGUUUGACCCAAACGAUACGUGCGUGGGUAGUGGGUUACGUGCUGGAUAGUACGCUUUCCAGUACGUUAUGGAGCUGGUAUCAGUUGGCGGAGGAUUAAAUAGUGGCUGGAUGUAUUCGAUGCAGUACUACCGUGUUUACGUUUUACUUCCCAAACUAAGUGUGUUGUAGGGCACAAGAGUCGUACGUUACUCACAACGGUGAAACAGCCCACUCAGAAGCCGCUGUUAAAAUGCUCUCCCUUCCACUU
This 2200-nucleotide ribosomal RNA is filed under the name Triticum aestivum (bread wheat). RNAcentral's name for it is "partial small subunit ribosomal RNA". The record is from RNAcentral. Lineage: Eukaryota; Viridiplantae; Streptophyta; Magnoliopsida; Poales; Poaceae.